RNAcentral lists this ribosomal RNA (497 nucleotides) under uncultured bacterium. RNAcentral describes it as "partial 16S ribosomal RNA". It matches the Rfam family "Bacterial small subunit ribosomal RNA", at positions 28 to 507 of the family's 1533-position model. The record is from RNAcentral.
GACGAACGCUGGCGGCGUGCCUAAUACAUGCAAGUUGAGCGGUGAAGGUUGGUACUUGUACCAACUGGAUGAGCAGCGAACGGGUGAGUAACGCGUGGGGAAUCUGUCUUUGAGCGGGGGACAACAGUUGGAAACGAAUGCUAAUACCGCAUAAAAACUUUAAACACAAGUUUUAAGUUCGAAAGAUGCAAUUGCAUCACUCAAAGAUGAUCCCGCGUUGUAUUAGCUAGUUGGUGAGGUAAAGGCUCACCAAGGCGAUGAUACAUAGCCGACCUGAGAGGGUGGUCGGCGACAUUGGGACUGGGACAGGGGCCAGACCCCGACGGGAGGCAGCAGUAGGGAAUCUUCGGAGCUGGACGAGAGUCUGACCGAGCGACGCCGCGUGAGUGAAGAAGGUGUUCGGGUCGUAAAACUCUGUUGGUAUGGAAGAACGUUGGUUAGCGUGUCAAGCUCGUCAAGUGACGGUAACUAAACAGAAAGGUACGGCUAACUACGUG